Molecule: ribosomal RNA, 380 nt
Filed under: uncultured eukaryote
Lineage: Eukaryota
Description: partial 18S ribosomal RNA
Rfam family: Eukaryotic small subunit ribosomal RNA
Source: RNAcentral
CAAUAGCGUAUAUUAAAGUUGUUGCGGUUAAAAAGCUCGUAGUUGGAUUUCUGGUUGAAGCGACCGGUCGGGCGUUGAUUCGUCUGCACUGGAGUCGGUUUUGGCCAUCCUCUAGGAAAGUGCGUCUGGUAUUAAGUUAUCGGGCGUAUGAUCCUGGUCUUUUACUGUGAAAAAAUUAGAGUGUUUAAAGCAGGCCUUGCCUUGAAUACAUUAGCAUGGAAUAAUAAGAUAGGACUUUGGUCUAUUUUGUUGGUUUGCAGACCGAAGUAAUGAUUAAUAGGGAUAGUUGGGGGUAUUUAUAUUCCGAUGUCAGAGGUGAAAUUCUUAGAUUUUCGGAAGAUAAACUUAUGCGAAAGCAUUUACCAAGGAUGUUUUCAUUA